UACGUAGGAUCCGAGCGUUGUCCGGAUUUACUGGGUGUAAAGGGUGCGCAGGCGGACUGGUAAGUCAGAGGUGAAAUCUCGUCGCUUAACGACGAAACUGCCUUUGAUACUAUCAGUCUUGAAUCCGGUAGAGAUCUGUGGAAUUCCGAGUGUAGCAGUGAAAUGUGUAGAUAUUCGGAAGAACACCAGUGGCGAAGGCAGCAGAUUGGGCCGGUAUUGACGCUCAGGCACGAAAGCAUGGGGAUCAAACAGGAUUAGAGACCCUGGUAGUCCAUGCCCUAAACGAUGUUCACUUGAUGUCUGCCCUCAGGGCAGGUGUCGAAGCUAACGCGAUAAGUGAACCACCUGGGGAGUACGCUCGCAAGGGUGAA
Molecule: ribosomal RNA, 371 nt
Filed under: uncultured bacterium
Lineage: Bacteria
Description: bacterial SSU rRNA
Rfam family: Bacterial small subunit ribosomal RNA
Source: RNAcentral